Molecule: ribosomal RNA, 423 nt
Filed under: Triticum aestivum (bread wheat)
Lineage: Eukaryota; Viridiplantae; Streptophyta; Magnoliopsida; Poales; Poaceae
Description: partial small subunit ribosomal RNA
Source: RNAcentral
AUGGUAGGGGCGGCCGGUGAGGCAAGGAAAGAGAAGGCAGAGGGAUGGAGGAGAAGGAGAGAUGGCAAGAGCGGUUGGUGUGCUUGCUCCGGUGACCAGCGUCCGGAGGGGUCGCGGUUGGCGUCAUCGACCGAGGUACUUGGCAGCAGCAGGGGUGGUGGUGGAGGUGCAAGCGAGCAGCGCCAUGGCCAGAAGCAGAGGUGGACACCACGGGAGGAGGUGGAGCGAGGCAGGGGCCGGAGAUGGCAGGAAGGAGGCGACCGGGAGGUCGAUGGCCGGCGGCUGCUAGCCGGCGAGGUCGCCGGAGGCGACGGGAGAAUCAAGGAGGCGCGCACGGGCGAAGCAGGAAGGCGGCGCUCAGUGACUGGCCAUGGCAGGCGACAGGCGGCCGGAACAGAGCCACGGGCGCGGCCCAAGAGCUAA